Molecule: non-coding RNA, 30 nt
Filed under: Cricetulus griseus (Chinese hamster)
Lineage: Eukaryota; Metazoa; Chordata; Mammalia; Rodentia; Cricetidae
Source: RNAcentral
UGUCUGACUGACUGUUCUUUCUGUGUGCAG